ACGCUGUAAACGAUGUCGAUUUGAAGGUUGUUCCCUUGAGGAGUGGCUUUCGGAGCUAACGCGUUAAAUCGACCGCCUGGGGAGUACGGCCGCAAGGUUAAAACUCAAAUGAAUUGACGGGGGCCCGCACAAGCGGUGGAGCAUGUGGUUUAAUUCGAUGCAACGCGAAGAACCUUACCUACUCUUGACAUCCAGAGAACUUAGCAGAGAUGCUUUGGUGCCUUCGGGAACUCUGAGACAGGUGCUGCAUGGCUGUCGUCAGCUCGUGUUGUGAAAUGUUGGGUUAAGUCCCGCAACGAGCGCAACCCUUAUCCUUUGUUGCCAGCGAUUCGGUCGGGAACUCAAAGGAGACUGCCGGUGAUAAACCGGAGGAAGGUGGGGAUGACGUCAAGUCAUCAUGGCCCUUACGAGUAGGGCUACACACGUGCUACAAUGGCGUAUACAAAGAGAAGCGACCUCGCGAGAGCAAGCGGAACUCAUAAAGUACGUCGUAGUCCGGAUUGGAGUCUGCAACUCGACUCCAUGAAGUCGGAAUCGCUAGUAAUCGUAGAUCAGAAUGCUACGGUGAAUACGUUCCCGGGCCUUGUACACACCGCCCGUCACACCAUGGGAGUGGGUUGCAAAAGAAGUAGGUAGCUUAACCUUCGGGAGGGCGCUUACCACUUUGUGAUUCAUGA
This 677-nucleotide ribosomal RNA is filed under the name uncultured bacterium. RNAcentral describes it as "bacterial SSU rRNA". It matches the Rfam family "Bacterial small subunit ribosomal RNA", at positions 797 to 1474 of the family's 1533-position model. The record is from RNAcentral.